CAUGCAUGCUUAGUAGCGGCGAGUGAGCGGCAAAGCUCAAAUUUGAAAUCUGGCUCUUUCAGAGUCCGAGUUGUAAUUUGAAGAAGGUAUCUUUGGGUCUGGCUCUUGUCUAUGUUUCUUGGAACAGAACGUCACAGAGGGUGAGAAUCCCGUGCGAUGAGAUGAUCCAGGCCUAUGUAAAGUUCCUUCGAAGAGUCGAGUUGUUUGGGAAUGCAGCUCUAAGUGGGUGGUAAAUUCCAUCUAAAGCUAAAUAUUGGCGAGAGACCGAUAGCGAACAAGUACAGUGAUGGAAAGAUGAAAAGAACUUUGAAAAGAGAGUGAAAAAGUACGUGAAAUUGUUGAAAGGGAAGGGCUUGAGAUCAGACUUGGUAUUUUGUAUGUUACUUCUUCGGGGGUGGCCUCUACAGUUUAUCGGGCCAGCAUCAGUUUGGGCGGUAGGAGAAUUGCGUUGGAAUGUGGCACGGCUUCGGUUGUGUGUUAUAGCCUUCGUCGAUACUGCCAGCCUAGACUGAGGACUGCGGUUUAUACCUAGGAUGUUGGCAUAAUGAUCUUAAGUCGCCCGUCUUAA
This 568-nucleotide ribosomal RNA is filed under the name Candida tropicalis. Its description in RNAcentral is "eukaryotic LSU rRNA". It matches the Rfam family "Eukaryotic large subunit ribosomal RNA", at positions 69 to 657 of the family's 3401-position model. The record is from RNAcentral. Lineage: Eukaryota; Fungi; Ascomycota; Pichiomycetes; Serinales; Debaryomycetaceae.